GAUGAACGCUGGCGGCGUGCCUAAUACAUGCAAGUCGAGCGAACAGACGAGGAGCUUGCUCCUCUGACGUUAGCGGCGGACGGGUGAGUAACACGUGGAUAACCUACCUAUAAGACUGGGAUAACUUCGGGAAACCGGAGCUAAUACCGGAUAAUAUAUUGAACCGCAUGGUUCAAUAGUGAAAGACGGUUUUGCUGUCACUUAUAGAUGGAUCCGCGCCGCAUUAGCUAGUUGGUAAGGUAACGGCUUACCAAGGCAACGAUGGGUAGCCGACCUGAGAGGGUGAUCGGCCACACUGGAACUGAGACACGGUCCAGACUCCUACGGGAGGCAGCAGUAGGGAAUCUUCCGCAAUGGGCGAAAGCUUGACGGAGCAACGCCGCGUGAGUGAUGAAGGUCUUCGGAUCGUAAAACCCUGUUAUUAGGGAAGAACAAAUGUGUAAGUAACUAUGCACGUCUUGACGGUACCUAAUCAGAAAGCCACGGCUAACUACGUG
RNAcentral lists this ribosomal RNA (497 nucleotides) under uncultured bacterium. Its description in RNAcentral is "partial 16S ribosomal RNA". It matches the Rfam family "Bacterial small subunit ribosomal RNA", at positions 28 to 507 of the family's 1533-position model. The record is from RNAcentral.